Helianthus annuus (common sunflower) is the source of this 395-nucleotide long non-coding RNA. RefSeq lists it as uncharacterized. The record is from RefSeq and is a predicted model, not a curated record. Lineage: Eukaryota; Viridiplantae; Streptophyta; Magnoliopsida; Asterales; Asteraceae. The transcript is spliced from 2 exons.
GAGAUAACCGGAGCGACGUGUUGAAGUUGGUUAGUUUCGUGUUGGUCAUAUUCAUUUAAGUGUGGUCAUUUCCUGCCAGUAAAGUAUGUAGAGAAGAAGAGUUCGAUGAAGACGUAGAAGGGAGGAACGAGAGUCGAGAUAAGGAAGAGAAUGUUGUGGUAGUAGAGUGGUCGGUUGGUGACGAUGACGGUGAGUGGUAGCGGAGGAAUUGAACCAGACGAGUUUGGGCGAUGGUGAGUGGCAACCGAUAACGAUGGCAGUUUUGGAGUCUUGAAUUGAAACGUUGAGCAGCGAUUUAGGGAUCGGUGUCGGCUACGUGCUCUGUUGUUUCUGCAGUUAGAUUGUUUUGUUCUUUUUCCUAAUCUUUAAUGGUAGAUUGGACCAUGCUUAGUGAA